CAAAUAUAUACGCAUAACCCAAACUCGGUUCAUCCGUAUUUCGAGCUUUCUGCGUGCAGAAAAAAAACUUUUCAGAGUUUGCUCAUAUAACCUUUGAACCGGUCCUGUUCCCGGAUAUGAAUGCAGAACAUGUUUCUGCGGCGUUGCGUCCGCUUCCCUGCGUAUGUCGCGGUGUCUUUCAUUUACUUUGCUGCGUGCUGCUUGUAAUUAAGAUGGGUGACAUUUCCGAUGAACUGACAUGCAGCGUAUGUCUGGAUAUCUACAAAGACCCUUAUUUGCUACCUUGCGGGCACAGUUUUUGUCACCGCUGCAUACAAGGUCUCCGGACGGCUUUGGAGCUGAAGUGCCCAGACUGUCGGAGGGAGUGCAGACGCUGGGAGGAUGUAGUCAGGAACUACAAACUGGCAAACAUUGUGCAAGUGCUUAUGGAAAAGGUGAGUUAUCGCAGGUAAAAUACGUUUAGUGCCCGGAUGUUCCGUCCGGGUUGUACGCCUCGCUGCCGGGAUGGACGUCGGCUAUCCGCGUCCGUGCACAGGGCGAGCUGUCACUGAUGGGUGUCCUGAUCGUAAGUUGUUAAAUGCACUCAUUAGGUCUCACUUUAUUGAAUGCUACCCCGACUUUAAAUAGUGGAUUCGCGGAUGAUAUUUCCCUCUACCCUGAAAUGUCCAGCUAGCUGCCUGCUGUACCCACCGUGCCACCCAAUCCCUGCCUUUGUAUAUAUGCAGGUUUUUUGGGGUAAAGCCACAUGUGAGAAAGGCAUUCUGUGUUGACUCCGGGUUUGGUUUGCUCAGCAAUGAUGUAUAAUACUUAUUUUAUACCAUAAAAUUUGCCAUCCAAGUCAAACUUUAACGGUUAAUAUUAAUAGUUAAUAUUUACGCUCCUUUUCUACAAUAUAGUGUGUUUUAACGUGUAACCAAGACAUUACAGCGGUAGACCAAGAGGAGACCACGGAAGUCACCUCUCAGUCAGCCAAUAGCAGUGGGUCCCCGGGACUGGAGUUGCGAACCACUGUUUUAUUAUUGGCUGAUUGAGAGGUCAUCCCACAAACCUGCACCGGACCGCCAUGGAUCAGGUUUGCCACCCCUGAGCGAGACCAUUAAAGUCCACCCUGCUCCAGUGUCAGGGUUUAUCAUUCGCCCGUUAUGCUGACAUGUGCCACGGUUUAAGUCUGAAAACUGCACCUUAACUGACACGACUGUUUUCCUUAGAGCCCCGAAGCAAGCCCACCUUCAGAUAUUGACCAAUGGAGGCUUUCCUACUGGCUCUUACUAUUGGCUGUGGUGCUGCUGGUCACUGCCGCCUUCUGUAAGUGUUGUUGAUAUGUCUGUACUGGUGCGUUCGAGUCGACAGUGGCCCGGCUGGUAGCACUGCAGGAAUUUGGGAUCAUUUCCUGAUCCCAGAUGUGUGUGGGGUCUUCUCUCCCAAGCUUACGUGGGUUUUCUCUGGUCCCAGAGGUGGGAAGUUCAGGUCCCGAAAGUAAACAUCCAAACCAAGAUUUUGUUUCAACCAACCAGUUGUGGGUAUAAAGAGUCACAUGCACAGAGUACUGAACUGGUUGGUUGGUUGAAACGAAAUCUUGGUCUGGAUUUUCGCUUUCCACCUCUGUUCGGUUUUCAUAGUCCACAAACCAUUUGUUAGGCAUACUGAUGCCUCAGACUUACCCGUAUUGUAUGCAAGCAUGUGUGAUUGUGUGGGUCAUGUGAUUGACUGGUAUCCCGCCCAGCGCCUGGGGACAUGCUCCGGUUUCACUCCGGCUCUGUACUGGUAAAAAACAAACUGGAAUCUACUGCCGAAGAACUGCUGGACUCUCAGAUGCAGCUCAGAACCUUCCAGAAGGAGGGCGCUGACAGCGUGGUGUCACCUGGGAGCAUCACUGACUAUCUGAUGUCCACACUCUACUGGUGUGUCUGGAUCGUCGUCAGUCCCUUAUUGAUUUUAUGGACCUUAGUGCAGUGGCUUGUGGAUGCACUAACUUACCUUAUUUACUUCUGCCUAUGGCUCCUCUACUAUUGCCUUUGGCUAAUGGUCAGCACAAGUUUCGAUUACUUAUUUAAGUUAUUCAACCUGUCUGUCUACACCUGCGGACUCGGCUAUAUUUUUUUAAAGAUGCUGCGUUUGUUGCGGAAGCCACGGACCGGCGGCUGAUGCCGCGAUUGGUGCUACUAACCGGUAAUGUGAUCAGUCUGGCCAAUGACAGGACUUGUUUUUAUUACAUGAAAUACUGCCUAUUAUUUUUUAAUUGGUCUCCAUGGCGUUGCCUGGCACUGAUUUGCUGUACGCCUGGGGAUCAUGUGGUGCGCUUUUCAUAAAUGUAAUUUUGUAUUCAAAAUACAAAUGUGCAUGCACCUAACAAAAGCCUGGGCUUUUAUAUAGAUGGAGGUUUUUGGUAGAACAUGACAUUUUGAACACUAUUUUUGUUACCGCUUAAGAGUUAGCUGUUUUGCAUCCAAGCUGCAAAUCAGAAAUGGCAAUAAAACUUUUCACUAAGA
Molecule: RNA transcript, 2489 nt
Organism: Brienomyrus brachyistius
Lineage: Eukaryota; Metazoa; Chordata; Actinopteri; Osteoglossiformes; Mormyridae
Gene name: E3 ubiquitin-protein ligase TRIM11-like
Exons: 3
Source: RefSeq, a predicted model, not a curated record